GAUGAACGCUAGCUACAGGCUUAACACAUGCAAGUCGAGGGGUAACGAGAGGGAAGCUUGCUUUCCUUGACGACGACCGGCGCACCGGUGAGUAACGCGUAUCCACCCUGCCCCCAAUUAAGGAAUAAGCUUGCGACAGUAAGACGAUUCCCCUAUAAUUGCCUCAGAUGACAUCUGACGAGGAAUACAGAUUUAACGGUUGUGGAUGGGGAUGCGUCUGAUUAGCUUGGUGGCGGGGUAACGGCCCAACAAAGUAACGAUCAGUAGGGGUUCUGAGAGGAAGGCCCAGCACAUUGGAACUGAGGGACGGUCCAAACUCCUACGGGAGGCAGCAGUGAGGAAUAUUGGUGAAGGGGGGAAAGCCUGAUCCAGCCAGGCCGCGUGCAGGAUGAAGGCCUUCGGGUUGUAAACUGCUUUUGUACGGAGCGAAAAGGUUUGGCCUAAUAAGCUGAGCUCAUGACGGUACCGUAAGAAUAAGCACCGGCUAACUACGUGCCAGCAGCCGCCGUAA
RNAcentral lists this ribosomal RNA (511 nucleotides) under uncultured bacterium. Its description in RNAcentral is "partial 16S ribosomal RNA". It matches the Rfam family "Bacterial small subunit ribosomal RNA", at positions 28 to 523 of the family's 1533-position model. The record is from RNAcentral.